Molecule: ribosomal RNA, 253 nt
Filed under: uncultured bacterium
Lineage: Bacteria
Description: partial 16S ribosomal RNA
Rfam family: Bacterial small subunit ribosomal RNA
Source: RNAcentral
UACAGAGGGUGCAAGCGUUAAUCGGAAUUACUGGGCGUAAAGCGUGCGUAGACGGUUAUGUAAGUCAGAUGUGAAAGCCCCGGGCUUAACCUGGGAAUGGCAUUUGAGACUGCAUAGCUAGGGUGCGGAAGAGGGAAGCGGAAUUUCCGGUGUAGCGGUGAAAUGCGUAGAUAUCGGAAGGAACACCAGUGGCGAAAGCGGCUUCCUGGUCCAGCACCGACGUUCAGGCACGAAAGCGUGGGGAGCAAACAGG